AUUGAACGCUGGCGGCAUGCAUCACACAUGCAAGUCGAACGGUAAGGCCCUUCGGGGUACACGAGUGGCGAACGGGUGAGUAACACGUGGGAGAUCUGCCCUGCACUUCGGGAUAAGCCUGGGAACCUGGGUCUAAUACCGGAUAGGACCCUGGGAUGCAUGUCCUGGGGUGGAAAGCUUUUGCGGUGUGGGAUGGGCCCGCGGCCUAUCAGCUUGUUGGUGGGGUGAUGGCUUACCAAGGCGACGACGGGUAGCCGGCCUGGGCGGAAGACCCGACACACGGGGGGAGAGAGACGACCCAGACUACACCGGGAGUCAGCAGUGGGGAUGAUUGGACAAUGGGCGCAAGCCUGAUGCAGCGACGCCGCGGGAGGGAUGACGGCAGUCGGGUUGUAAACCUCUUUCAGCACCGACGAAGCGCAAGUGAGCGUAGGUGCAGAAUAAGGACCGGCCAACUACGUGCCAGCCGCCGCCGUAA
Molecule: ribosomal RNA, 478 nt
Filed under: uncultured bacterium
Lineage: Bacteria
Description: partial 16S ribosomal RNA
Rfam family: Bacterial small subunit ribosomal RNA
Source: RNAcentral